RNAcentral lists this ribosomal RNA (388 nucleotides) under Lodderomyces orthopsilosis. RNAcentral's name for it is "Candida orthopsilosis partial large subunit ribosomal RNA". It matches the Rfam family "Eukaryotic large subunit ribosomal RNA", at positions 251 to 658 of the family's 3401-position model. Lineage: Eukaryota; Fungi; Ascomycota; Pichiomycetes; Serinales; Debaryomycetaceae. The record is from RNAcentral.
GUUCCUUCGAAGAGUCGAGUUGUUUGGGAAUGCAGCUCUAAGUGGGUGGUAAAUUCCAUCUAAAGCUAAAUAUUGGCGAGAGACCGAUAGCGAACAAGUACAGUGAUGGAAAGAUGAAAAGAACUUUGAAAAGAGAGUGAAAAAGUACGUGAAAUUGUUGAAAGGGAAGGGCUUGAGAUCAGACUUGGUAUUUUGUAUGUUACUCUCUCGGGGGUGGCCUCUACAGUUUACCGGGCCAGCAUCAGUUUGGGCGGUAGGACAAUUGCAAAGAAAUGUGGCACUGCCUCGGUAGUGUGUUAUAGUCUUUGUCGAUACUGCCAGCCUAGACUGAGGACUGCGGCUUCGGCCUAGGAUGUUGGCAUAAUGAUCUUAAGUCGCCCGUCUUGAA